UCGAGCGGUACAGGGGUAGCUUGCUACCCGCUGACGAGCGGCGGACGGGUGAGUAAUGCUUAGGAAUCUGCCCAGUAGUGGGGGAUAGCCCGGGGAAACCCGGAUUAAUACCGCAUACGUCCUACGGGAGAAAGCAGGGGAUCUUCGGACCUUGCGCUAUUGGAUGAGCCUAAGUCGGAUUAGCUAGUUGGUGGGGUAAAGGCCUACCAAGGCGACCAUCCGUAGCUGGUCUGAGAGGAUGAUCAGCCACAUCGGGACUGAGACACGGCCCGAACUCCUACGGGAGGCAGCAGUGGGGAAUAUUGGACAAUGGGGGCAACCCUGAUCCAGCCAUGCCGCGUGUGUGAAGAAGGCUUUCGGGUUGUAAAGCACUUUCAGUAGGGAGGAAAACCUUAUGGCUAAUACCCAUGAGGCUUGACGUUACCUACAGAAGAAGCACCGGCUAACUCCGUGCCAGCAGCCGCGGUAAUACGGAGGGUGCAAGCGUUAAUCGGAAUUACUGGGCGUAAAGCGCGCGUAGGUGGUUUGGUAAGCGAGAUGUGAAAGCCCCGGGCUUAACCUGGGAACGGCAUUUCGAACUGUCAGACUAGAGUGUGGUAGAGGGUAGUGGAAUUUCCUGUGUAGCGGUGAAAUGCGUAGAUAUAGGAAGGAACACCAGUGGCGAAGGCGGCUACCUGGAUCAACACUGACACUGAGGUGCGAAAGCGUGGGAGCAAACACGAUUAGAUACCCUGGCUAGUCCACGCCUACACGAUGUCAACUAGCCCUUGGGACUCUUGAAGUUCUUACUGGCGCAGCUAACGCACUAAGUUGACCGCCUGGGGAA
Molecule: ribosomal RNA, 826 nt
Filed under: Marinobacter nauticus
Lineage: Bacteria; Pseudomonadati; Pseudomonadota; Gammaproteobacteria; Pseudomonadales; Marinobacteraceae
Description: bacterial SSU rRNA
Rfam family: Bacterial small subunit ribosomal RNA
Source: RNAcentral